UUUCCCGGUUGAUCCCGCCGGACCCGACUGCUAUUUGGGUGAGAAUAAGCCAUGCAAGUUGAAUGGAAUGCCAAAAUAUUCCAUGGCAAACUGCUCAAUAACACGUGAUCAACUUACCCUAUGGAAAACAAUAACCUCUGGAAACGGAGGAUAAUGGUUUAUAGUUGAAAAGGCUUGGAAAAGUUUUUCAAUAAAAGGGAAUAAUAAAAAUGGUUAUUAUUUUGCCAUAGGAUAGGAUUGCGGUCGAUUAUGGCCGUUGGUGAGGUAAUGGCUCACCAAACCAAUAAUCGAUAGGGGCCGUGAGAGCGGGAGCCCCGAGAUGGGUACUGAGACAACGACCCAGGCCUUACGAGGCGCAGCAGGCGCGAAAACUCCGCAAUACACGAAAGUGUGACGGGGUUACCCAAAGUGCUUAAUAUUUAAGCUGUGGUAAGUGUGUAAUGUACCUUACUAGAAAGGAGAGGGCAAGGCUGGUGCCAGCCGCCGCGGUAAAACCAGCUCUUCAAGUGGUCGGGAUAUUUAUUGGGCUUAAAGUGUCCGUAGCUUGUAUAAUAAGUUCCUGGUAAAAUCUAAUAGCUUAACUAUUAGUAUGCUAGGAAUACUGUUAUACUAGAGGGCGGGAGAGGUUUGAGGUACUUCAGGGGUAGGGGUGAAAUCCUAUAAUCCUUGAAGGACCACCAGUGGCGAAGGCGUCAGACUGGAACGCGCCUGACAGUGAGGGACGAAAGCCAGGGGAGCGAACCGGAUUAGAUACCCGGGUAGUCCUGGCCGUAAACGAUGCACACUAGGUGUUGGUAUGGCUAUGAGCCAUAUCAGUGCCGAAGGGAAACCAUUAAGUGUGCCGCCUGGGAAGUACGGUCGCAAGGCUAAAACUUAAAGGAAUUGGCGGGGGAGCACCACAAGGGGUGAAGCCUGCGGUUCAAUUGGAUUCAACGCCGGA
RNAcentral lists this ribosomal RNA (940 nucleotides) under uncultured archaeon. Its description in RNAcentral is "bacterial SSU rRNA". It matches the Rfam family "Archaeal small subunit ribosomal RNA", at positions 1 to 922 of the family's 1478-position model. The record is from RNAcentral.